CCCUUAGAUGUCCUGGGCCGCACGCGUGCUACACUGACGCCUACAGCGAGUACUUCCCAGCCCCGAGAGGUGGCUGGUAAUCAGCAAUAGGCGUCGUGAUGGGGAUAGAUCUUUGGAAUUAUGGAUCUUGAACGAGGAAUGCCUAGUAAGUGCAGGUCAUUAGCCUGCGCUGAUUAAGUCCCUGCCCUUUGUACACACCGCCCGUCGCUCCUACCGAUUUCGAGUGGUCCGGUGAAUCUUUCGGACUGCGCGCGGCCUCGUGCCGUGUCGCGGAAAGUCAGGUAAACCUUAUCACUUAGAGGAAGGAGAAGUCGUAACA
This 319-nucleotide ribosomal RNA is filed under the name uncultured eukaryote. RNAcentral's name for it is "partial 18S ribosomal RNA". It matches the Rfam family "Eukaryotic small subunit ribosomal RNA", at positions 1470 to 1796 of the family's 1831-position model. The record is from RNAcentral.